GGUUCUUCAGCCUCGUUCCCGGGUAGUAUAAAGUUUGCUGUCUCCUUUGUUCGCCCUCGUUGCGCAGUAGUCCUAGCGGCUUCUCUGUUCCGUUCCUGGGUCCAGCAGCUGUCACUCGUGUUGAGCUGCUUGAAAGGCCCACUCGGCGAGCUCGUAGGAGCUUGAGACCGUCGCCACCCCUCCGACUCACCAGGGGGGAAAAAUGGUUGAAGCAGAUCGUCCAGGAAAGCUCUUCAUUGGUGGGCUUAAUACGGAAACAAAUGAGAAAGCCCUUGAAGCAGUAUUUGGCAAAUAUGGACGAAUAGUGGAAGUGCUCUUGAUGAAAGAUCGUGAAACCAACAAAUCAAGAGGAUUUGCCUUUGUCACCUUUGAAAGUCCAGCAGAUGCUAAGGAUGCAGCCAGAGACAUGAAUGGAAAGUCCUUAGAUGGAAAAGCCAUCAAGGUGGAACAAGCUACCAAACCAUCAUUUGAAAGUGGUAGACGUGGCCCACCUCCACCUCCAAGAAGCAGAGGCCCUCCCAGAGGUCUUAGAGGAGGAAGAGGAGGAAGUGGAGGAACUAGGGGACCUCCCUCUCGUGGAGGGCACAUGGAUGAUGGUGGUUAUUCCAUGCAUUUUAACAUGAGUUCUUCCAGGGGACCUCUUCCAGUAAAAAGAGGACCACCACCAAGAAGUGGGGGUCCUCCUCCUAAAAGAUCAGCUCCUUCAGGACCAGUUCGCAGCAGCAGUGGAAUGGGAGGAAGAGCUCCUGUAUCACGUGGAAGAGAUAGUUAUGGAGGCCCACCUCGAAGGGAACCCCUGCCCUCUCGUAGAGAUGUUUAUUUGUCCCCAAGAGAUGAUGGAUAUUCUACUAAAGACAGCUAUUCAAGCAGAGAUUACCCAAGUUCUCGUGACACAAGAGAUUAUGCACCACCUCCAAGAGAUUAUACUUACCGUGAUUAUGGUCAUUCCAGUUCACGUGAUGACUAUCCAUCAAGAGGCUAUAGUGAUAGAGAUGGAUAUGGUCGUGAUCGUGAUUAUUCAGAUCAUCCAAGUGGAGGUUCCUACAGAGAUUCAUAUGAGAGUUAUGGUUGAGGACUUAUGGUCAUUGUGGUCAUGGAGUGCUGAUUUAUUCACAAUAGAUAAAGCUGGCAGCAGGAGAAAUCAAAUGCUAAGAGUUGUUGAAGCAGAAGAAUGCUGAUUGUCGAUCAGUCACAGCAGUCGCAUAAGCAGUGCUCAUCAGAAUUGGUUUGGUGCAGGCAGUAGAUUUUUGUCUUCAAGGGUUCUUGUGGAUCUGAGGAAGGCAUUAGUGUUGGUUAACACUCUUAACUAGGGAGUGGUAGUUACUUAAAAUUGACCAAAUGGAGAAAGGGAAAUAAAGAAAUUGGCAAGUGGAGGUACUCAGGAAGUUCUUGUGGCUAUUUAUGUAGAGUAUAGCUUUGGCUUUCAUUUUGUUCAGCUGAAGCAACUCUGCAAUUUAGAAUUAAGUAUCACUGACCAUUUCAGAAAGUUGAGUUAGGGGCUGAGGAUGUAGCUCAGUGGUAGAGCACCUGCCUAGCAUGCCUGAAGGCCCUGGGUUCAUCCCUAACACUGCAAAAAAAAAAAGUUGAAUUGUGAUAGGCAUUAAGUGGUAACUUGUAACUCUCUUUCAAGUAAUAUCUUGAUUUUUUUUUUUUUUUCAGCAAAUGAAACUUAUUCUGGCAUUAGCUUAUCAGGAAUGAGGGUUCAGUUUUACAGCAAAACUAAAGCAAGGAGUAACAUGGGGAAAAUGAAAGUAACAACUGGAAACAUUGCUAGAAUGGUGGAAAGCACACUUGAAACUGGAAACAAAUUGGUCACUUGGUUAUUGUAUCAUUUUAUAAGCUUACUUUACCCACAGCUCCCAUUCUUGGAAACAAAUCAUGGUAAAACCAGUUUAUUGCUUUGGAGACUAGAGCCAAUAGUUUAAGUAUUAAUGUUCUCAAAACAGAGUUGUUGCAUUAGAGGAAGCAGCUCAACUUCUGAGAAUUUUUGCAUAGUAUAAUACUAUCACAUUUAACAACUGUGAUUCAGGAAAAUAAAUUUUAACCCUCAUUGGUCACAUUCCUAAGUCAGACCAUGAGGAUACUGACCAAUUAAGUAGUUGCACUUGAAUAGCUAUCUUAGCUCAAGUCUUCCAUAAUCUAAUUACUUGAGUUGGUGCUUCUGUGAGGACUUUUUUGGCUCUUGAGAUUUUAUUUAGAUUUCUUGAAGACAGUGUAGAAUAGACUAAUUGUAGUAUGAAUACUAAAUUCAGAGUAAGGAGUAUGCUUAAAUUACCAGAUACUUUUUUAACAGAUAACUUAAAGACCCAGAAGGCUUAGUUUUUCCAUUAGUAAAAGAGUUGGUCUUGAUUCAUUUUACUUUAUAUUGGUUGUAAAAGAAACGGAAUGAUAAAAUGUUUUCCUUGUUUGACUGGUAGUUGAAUAUAGAACUUAGGUAUUAUAGAUCAUUUUCACUUUUUGGAAUGUUUUGUAUUGAGACAAUAAAACUUAAACGUGCA
Non-coding RNA from Marmota flaviventris (yellow-bellied marmot), 2498 nucleotides. The record is from RefSeq and is a predicted model, not a curated record. NCBI's taxonomy places the organism in Eukaryota, Metazoa, Chordata, Mammalia, Rodentia, Sciuridae.